UACACCCUGUAUUGGAUGGGUUCGGGAAGUCACAUGUAUGAAUGAACGAUCAACAAACCUGUCAGCGUGUAUUUAUUAUGCCUACACACUAGACGUCGUGUGUGUAUGGUUGUACUUUUGAGUACGGAUUUUCAUCGGGAACUUUGACGUGCAUAUUAAAUAAAUAACUUCGUCUUAACUUGGUCUGACUUGGUUGAUAAACUUGAAGAACAAGAUAUAGAAGCAGCUGUCAAGUAGCCAGUUUUCUCAAGGCAUGCAACAUGCAAGAGAUCUGCUCACGUCGACGACAGGUCGCAAGGAAAAAGAAGAAGAAGCCGCCAUUUAUAUGCAUCAUGCCAACACACACACACUGCACACAGCGUGUAUUGAUUGAUGAAAGGCAAUGACACUUUUGUAAACAAAUGAUUUGCACCGGCCGAAUAUUCGAUGAAAUCAGUAGCCUUGCUCAAGGCAGUGGUGAUGGUUGGUGCAUACUGUGUUGGCAUCAUGAAAUCAAAACAGGGUCACAUGGCAGCCUGACAGUGCAAGGGAAACACUCCUCGUUUAAGAAGGAAGUUCGUUCCACCCCUACCCCUAAGCUGCUGUAAAAACUGUGAAAGUUUGAUCUCCUGCCUUACUGCGAGUCAUGGGAAAAGUUAGCCGAGAUGGAUCUGCAUUGGAGUGAAGAUGUGUACGCAAAAACUGAUACAACUCUAGACACUCAUUAAAUUACUCUGGUGCCUGAUUUAUAAAGAAAUGUUCAUACAAAUAAAAUAAUCUUAAUUGCAAUCCUCUGUUUAAUUGGUAACCAAUGAAGCGAUCUUAGAAGGAGCAUGGCAUCACGACGACGAUUUAACCUAAAUAUAAAUAAAAAGUAACCAAUGAAGCGAUCUUAGAAGGAGCAUGGCAUCACGACGACGAUUUAACCUAAAUAUAACACGAGCAGCCCAGUUCUGCAAACUGUGAUGUCUCUUUUAAAAUAUGCAUGUGGGUUUUCUGUAAGCAGCCCAUUACAACAAUCUAACCGAGAAAGAACAUGGCUGCGAAUCACAUGAUGUUAUGAAUCGUCAGAUACAUACUUCCUAAUCUGUGACACA
This is a long non-coding RNA of Asterias rubens (European starfish), 1076 nucleotides long. RefSeq lists it as uncharacterized. The transcript is spliced from 2 exons. The record is from RefSeq and is a predicted model, not a curated record. NCBI's taxonomy places the organism in Eukaryota, Metazoa, Echinodermata, Asteroidea, Forcipulatida, Asteriidae.